This 256-nucleotide ribosomal RNA is filed under the name uncultured bacterium. RNAcentral describes it as "partial 16S ribosomal RNA". It matches the Rfam family "Bacterial small subunit ribosomal RNA", at positions 524 to 777 of the family's 1533-position model. The record is from RNAcentral.
UACGUAGGGUGCGAGCGUUUAAUCGGAAUUACUGGGCGUAAAGCGUGCGCAGGCGGUUUUGUAAGCCAGGUGUGAAAUCCCCGGGCUCAACCUGGGAAUGGCAUUUGGGACUGCAAGGCUGGAGUGCGGCAGAGGAGACUGGAAUUCCUGGUGUAGCAGUGAAAUGCGUAGAUAUCAGGAGGAACACCGAUGGCGAAGGCAGGUCUCUGGGCUGACACUGACGCUCAUGCACGAAAGCGUGGGGAGCGAAACAAGG